GUGGGGAAUAUUGGACAAUGGGCGCAAGCCUGAUCCAGCCAUGCCGCGUGAGUGAUGAAGGCCUUAGGGUUGUAAAGCUCUUUCAGUGGGGACGAUAAUGACGGUACCCACAGAAGAAGCCCCGGCUAACUUCGUGCCAGCAGCCGCGGUAAUACGAAGGGGGCUAGCGUUGUUCGGAUUUACUGGGCGUAAAGCGCACGUAGGCGGACAUUUAAGUCAGGGGUGAAAUCCCAGAGCUCAACUCUGGAACUGCCUUUGAUACUGGGUGUCUUGAGUAUGGAAGAGGUAAGUGGAAUUCCGAGUGUAGAGGUGAAAUUCGUAGAUAUUCGGAGGAACACCAGUGGCGAAGGCGGCUUACUGGUCCAUUACUGACGCUGAGGUGCGAAAGCGUGGGGAGCAAACAGGAUUAGAUACCCCGGUAGUCC
This 425-nucleotide ribosomal RNA is filed under the name uncultured bacterium. RNAcentral describes it as "partial 16S ribosomal RNA". It matches the Rfam family "Bacterial small subunit ribosomal RNA", at positions 354 to 796 of the family's 1533-position model. The record is from RNAcentral.